RNAcentral lists this small nucleolar RNA (71 nucleotides) under Vicugna pacos (alpaca). Its description in RNAcentral is "Small nucleolar RNA SNORD112 (ENSVPAG00000017993.1)". Lineage: Eukaryota; Metazoa; Chordata; Mammalia; Artiodactyla; Camelidae. The record is from RNAcentral.
AUGACCAAUGAUGCAGUCUGUCAUGAAGCAAAGAUUAUGGUUAAUCUAAUUCUGUAUAGCUAAGGUCUGUU